AGUGAACGCUGGCGGUAGGCCUAACACAUGCAAGUCGAACGGCAGCACAGGAGAGCUUGCUCUCUGGGUGGCGAGUGGCGGACGGGUGAGGAAUACAUCGGAAUCUACUUUUUCGUGGGGGACAACGUAGGGAAACUUACGCUAAUACCGCAUACGACCUACGGGUGAAAGCAGGGGACCUUCGGGCCUUGCGCGAUUGAAUGAGCCGAUGUCGGACUAGCUAGUUGGCGGGGUAAAGGCCCACCAAGGCGACGAUCCGUAGCUGGUCUGAGAGGAUGAUCAGCCACACUGGAACGGAGACACGGUCCAGACUCCUACGGGAGGCAGCAGUGGGGAAUAUUGGACAAUGGGCGCAAGCCUGAUCCAGCCGUACCGCGUGGGUGAAGAAGGCCUUCGGGUUGUAAAGCCCUUUUGUUGGGAAAGAAAUCCAGCUGGCUAAUACCCGGUUGGGAUGACGGUACCUAAAGAAUAAGCACCGGCUAACUUCGUGCCAGCCGCCGCCGUAA
This 506-nucleotide ribosomal RNA is filed under the name uncultured bacterium. RNAcentral's name for it is "partial 16S ribosomal RNA". It matches the Rfam family "Bacterial small subunit ribosomal RNA", at positions 29 to 523 of the family's 1533-position model. The record is from RNAcentral.